UCUAGAGCGAGCAGAGAAGAGAAGAGAACCAGGAAGGAGGGAGAGAGAGAGAGAAAUAGAGAUGCAGAGCCUUGGAACGCGGAGGGUUUACCACCAGAACGACGCCGUCUCCACGCUUCCUCUCUAUCGCUCAGCUCCGCCACUCGAGGUCAGGCUCGAGGACUUCGAGGCUUUCGCCGUCGAUCGCCUCCGAGUUCUUAAGGCGAUCUCCGAUGGAUUAUCCCGAGGAAAGAAGCCCGAGGAGAUGGAAAAGCUGGUUGAAGAACUGUGGAAAACGCACAUGAAACAGCCCAAGCUGUCGGAGGCUGGCAACAAGGAUGUCAUCUCUCAUUUCGUCCUGCGUCUCGUGUACUGUAGAACUGAGGAUUUACGGAAGUGGUUUCUCUCAAUGGAGACGAUGCUCUUCCGAUACCGUUUCAAGCUUCAAAGUCCAGAAGCUCAGAGAGCACUUAUGGCUGAUCUUGACCUCCCCUACAAGGCAGUUAAUACUGCAGAAUUUGAGAGUGUGAAGGAUAAAGUGAGCCAGGUUGCACGUUCCAUUGUUCAGCCUCCGCCAACAGAGGAUGCUAAAUUUUACAAGGUACCUUUUGAAGAAGUUCCAGAACUUGUAGCUAGCCGCAGGGUGUAUAUUCAUCAAGGAAAUGCAUAUGUUGCUAUGAAUCAGGUGGUUUCACUUGUUGUUACACAGUUCCGUAGUUUUCUGUCAAAGGCGCUCAUCCUGACAAACAGGAAAUGGACCUCGUCUAUCAAAGAACAAGAGAAAGAUCGCUUGACCCCUAUUGUUGAAGAGUUGUCAACGAGCUACUUGGGUCCUGAUUAUUCACAGCCAAGAGAAUCUGCUGAAAUAUCACUAAAAGAUAUAGAUCACUUGGCUAAGAGUUCAUUCCCUCUCUGUAUGCGUCACCUCUAUGAAAAGUUGAAAGAAGACCAUCAUUUAAAGCAUGGAGGGAGAAUGCAAUUAGGUCUCUUUCUCAAGGGAGUUGGCUUGAAUCUGGAUGAUGCACUUGCAUUCUGGAGAGCUGAAUUCUCCCAAAAGUGUCAUUUUUCUCCUGCUUUCCGCCUUUCAGAAGAAAAGGCUAAGGUUGGUGCUGAAAGGUUUGACAAAGAGUAUGCUUAUAACAUACGACACAAUUAUGGAAGAGAAGGAAAAAGAACAGAUUACACACCUUUUUCUUGUCAAAAGGUCAUUUCAUCAACUCCUGGCGUUGGGGAUCAUCAUGGGUGUCCUUUCCGACAUUUCAGUGAAGAAAAUCUAAGGGCUGCUCUUGGUAGAAUGGGAGUAGGUAAUCGAGGAAUGGACGACAUAAUUGACAAAGUGCGAAACCGACAUUAUCAGGUUGCAUGUACAUUAACAUUUGAAGCUGUUCAUGGAUCAACAUGUGAUGCUGGCAUCAAUCAUCCCAAUCAGUACUUUAUUGACAGCCAAAAGGUUCUGCAGUCUAAGGUGAGUUCUCUAGAUAAACUACCCAAUGUUGUUGGGUAAAAAAAUAAAGCACUUAAGUAACGUCUAAGUUCCCUAAACUUGGAAAACUUGGAAGUGAUAAACAAAUGAAGCCAUGAGAUUUGAAGCCUAUUCAUUUUGUCCUAAUAGUUUUAGGGCACAUAAUAUGUUGGUCCAAGUAUAAAUAACUUAAAUACUAUAUAUGCGAGUCCCUUUUUUUUGGGCUGUAGCUAAAUUGAGACCAUUUGCCAGGGUAGAAUUGUGGCUCAGUUGAAGCCUAAUGCAACUAUCAGGUUUAUGUCCAUGUAGAUUACUUGCUAUUAGGAAGACUGAUGUUGAAAGUUGGGAAUGGGGGUGAAGUCUGAACGUAUAUGUCAAAUGACAAAUCAUCCAACUCCACGUCAGACUUGAGUUCUCACUAACCCACAGCACAGUUGUUACCUUCGGUUUACCAAUCAAUGUCACAUUUACAUCCUAGGCUGUGUGGGUUCCAGAACUAAUGGGCUGCCAUGCUAAUGGCAAUCACACUCCAAAGCCAAGGUGCAUAUGGCAUCUGUAGUCCUCGUGAUUCGCACAUAGGGGUCAAUGAUUUUAACACCAUUUCACCACUCAAAUUUGGUCAACGUAAGCCUUCCACAAAACAAGUUGUCCUUUGAAGAAAAAGGGUCUGUCGUUCCUGAAUCAUAUUAGUACACUUAGCGAAGCCUCCAUGAGAAAAUAGUAUAUCCUGCACAUCAAAAAGGUUAGAGGUUGCUAAGGUAGUCCCACUAAUUGACUUCUUGUGAUUGCUGAU
This is an RNA transcript of Rhodamnia argentea, 2234 nucleotides long. It is a transcript of the gene named probable DNA primase large subunit, with no coding region annotated. Lineage: Eukaryota; Viridiplantae; Streptophyta; Magnoliopsida; Myrtales; Myrtaceae. The record is from RefSeq and is a predicted model, not a curated record. The transcript has 20 exons.